CCUACGGGUGGCAGCAGUAGGGAAUAUUGCUCAAUGGGGGGAACCCUGAUGCAGCAAUGCCGCGUGGGUGAAGAAGCCCUUCGGUGCGUAAACCUCUGUCAGCAGGGACGAAAAUGACAGUACCUGGACAAGAAGCCCCGGCUAACUACGUGCAAGCAGCCGCGGUAAUACGUAGGGGGCAAGCGUUAUCCGGCUUUACUGGGUGUAAAGGGGGCGCAGGCGGCGUGGUAAGUCAGAUGUGAAAACCCGGGGCCCAACCCCGGGAGUGCAUGUGAAACUGUCAUGCUGGAGUGCCGGAGAGGGAAGCGGAAUUCAUAGUGUAGCGGUGAAAUGCGUAGAUAUUAGGAAGAACACCAGGGGCGGAGGCGGCUUACUGGACGGUAACUGACGCUGAGGCUCGAAAGCGUGGGGAGCAAACAGGAUUAGAUACCCUUGUAGUC
RNAcentral lists this ribosomal RNA (440 nucleotides) under uncultured bacterium. Its description in RNAcentral is "partial 16S ribosomal RNA". It matches the Rfam family "Bacterial small subunit ribosomal RNA", at positions 338 to 795 of the family's 1533-position model. The record is from RNAcentral.